Molecule: unclassified non-coding RNA, 346 nt
Filed under: uncultured fungus
Lineage: Eukaryota; Fungi
Description: sequence contains ITS1
Source: RNAcentral
ACGCCGCACAAUCCUGGCACGCGUGUUGGCCCUGGGUAUGGCGGCGCUCGUCCUGCUCGUGCCGGCGAACGUGCUGCCGGUUAUGUUUGUGCAGCAGGCCGGCGAAACGUCCAUGGAACCGACGAUAUUUGGUGGAGUACGCCUGCUCGCCGAACAAGGCAUGUGGGGCCUCGCUGCCAUCGUCUUUACGGCCAGCAUCGUGAUUCCACUGGUCAAGAUCCUCGGCCUUGCCGUGCUGCUCCUCGGGGCCUGGCGCGGGGCCGGUCGGCAUGCGGAUCGACUGACAACGGUGCAUGCCGUGCUCGAUUUCAUCGGCCGUUGGUCGAUGCUCGAUGUAUUCCUGGUG